This is a non-coding RNA of Pelobates cultripes (western spadefoot toad), 21526 nucleotides long. The record is from the annotation of a GenBank genome assembly. Lineage: Eukaryota; Metazoa; Chordata; Amphibia; Anura; Pelobatidae.
UGACUUACUUGUUGUUGUGUGCAGCAAGUUUGUUUGGUGUCUCUUCUUUUCUUUUUCAGAUGGAUCCCACUAUGGAGUCUCUGAUUGAGAGGGUCAGGUCUGCUGGGCAGGAGAGAGGGAAGUCUUGGCUGCAGGAAUGCCUGGGAGCUGCUGUUCCAGUACCAGGGCCUUCAGGAGGUCCGGAGCGCCAGCCCACGAGGCGGACUAUUCCGCCCCAACGCUUGAACCCCAGUUCCAUUCCUUGGCGCAGGAGGAGGAGAAGACAGUCUAGAGCAAAGGCAGCCGGGGUGGAGAGGUCCUGUUCCAAUGAUCGGAGGAGACCAGCUAGCACAGCUGCACAGCAUCUCAGUGCUCAGGGGGCUGGCGCGGCCACCAACGGUUCCGGGGUGACGCUGCCCUAGUAUGGCGGAUGGCAGGACUGGUGAUGCGGCACCCACAGCGGACUCCAGGGAGCAGAGGAGUGCUGCCAGGCCUGGACUUUCGGCGGAGGGAAGCACUUCAGUGCCCGGUGAGUCAGCCUCCAGUGCGUUGGGACGGCACAAACAGGGGGGCUCUGGGCUCUGGGAGGGUCCCACUUCUCUUAACUUGGGUUGCCCAGCAGUGGUAGGUAUCCUCCUCUUACCCGCUGGUCAGCAUGUUAGGAGGUCACCACAGGAGCAGCACGGCUUGGGAAGAGAAAGAGAAGUGAAAAGAAUCAGUUGGUGGGAGUCUGUGCGGUUCAGGUCGUAUGUUAGGCUGGACCGUUUGGUUUAAAAGGGGACGGUAGGUUCCUCUUUUUUGUAUUUGGUAAUAUGUACUUUUUUCUUUUUGUAAGUUGGGUCGCCUGGUUGGUGGGCCACUCACACAUCCGUUGGGCAUGCCAGAGAGCUGUAGUUCGGCAACAAGGAAGACAGCUGGGCUUUCCACGGCACCUGGUUCAAUUAUGUUGGUUUGGUUAUAUAGAUUUCAUUUGAAGGGAAGUUUGUGGUGAGAUUUUUAGGAGGUUGAGUUCGGGGCAAUCACCUGACUUGUUAUUGAUCCACGCAGGGGGAAAUGAUUUAGGGCAGGUGCCACAGAGGUAGCUGGUACAAAUUAUAAAGCGGGAUGUGGAAAGAUUGCGGUGUCUGGUACCGGGCUUUACUAUUAUUUGGUCAGAGGUGGUGCCUAGGUUACAUGCCAUGGAUCCGGGGGCAGUAGCCAGAAUGAGGGGUAAGGUUAAUAUACUGGUGGCAAUUUUUAAAAGGCGUACUGGAGUUGUGGUAGUUUGGCAUGUGGACUUGGAAUCGAUGAUUCCGGGUUAUUACAGGCGGGAUGGGGUGCACCUCUCCAACGCUGGUAACGAUUUCCUCAACAUGGGUUGGCUUACAGCAAGCAUUGUUUAUGCGUGGGUGGGUGGGGUGCUCAAAUAGCUUGAGGCUUCAAGCUCUGAGCCGUGGCGAGGAAUUUAGACAUAUUGGGGGUAGGUAGGAAUAGUAGCUGGAAGCUUGGAAGUUCUGUACCAAUAUUAACUUAGUUGGAUUUGGUAUUUGAUAGGUAAGAGCCUGUCGAUGGCUCUCAACCUGGUGGUGUAGGAGUGUCUCGGUAUUCCCCUACAAUGUUAAAACAGUUAUAUUACGUUGCCUGUUGUGGCUGUGUGUGUUGUAUUAUGCAUUUUAAUACUGUUAUUGAUUAUGGAUGUUCCAAAUCAUGACUUUCCCACCAGAAUAUACUGAGCUCUUGGCAAGAAUACAUUAUCUCAAUAACCACAAUGUGGCCCAUGAAGAUUCUAGGUAGCAAAAGGCAGACAGCUUAAUAGAACUAGCUGCACUCUUACAAUAAUUAUCAUUAAGACCUGAUUAAGGAUUUGAGAAAUCAUUGACCUGUUCCCAGCAACGUGCAUUUUUUUGGUUCCCACGGGAAUCGUCCACUGUGUAAUAAUCUAGCGCUCCUCAUUGUAUAAGAUACUUGACAUACAAAUGUUACAAUAAUGGAUGCAGAGCGAUUAUCAAAUGUUGUCUCAGACAGCACAAUCCCACUGACAAAAUUGCUGCAAUUUUAUUACAACUCACAGGUUUUACGUCAAAUCAUACAACAAUUUCUGAGGACAAAUUUCCAGCAAUUAAAACAAUGUAUUUGUCAAACAGUAAUAAUGUAUUUAAAUAGUGUUAAAAUGGAUCUGUCACCCUCAGACCACAGGGUUCCUUCAAAUAUUAAAAACUCAGUUAAUGUUCUGUGCAUCACCAAAAUGAAUCUUUUAUUUUUAUGUUGAAGCAAUGAUUUCUUUUCUACUCAUAGUCAAGUCUCCAAACACCAAUAUGGAUUUGUUUAAGACACUUCACCAUUACGUACAUUAUAUUUCACAUUUUUGUUUAACCCCUUAGUGACCAGACCAUUUUUACAUUUUCUUACCUCUAAGGACUAGGGCUGUUUUUACAUUUCGGCAGUGUUUGUGUUUAAAAAAUAAAUAAUAAUUGGGGAUUUUUUUGACACACAUAGCAAUUUAAGAAUACCUGUACUGAGUACUUUAAGGGUUACUGCCCAAUAUGAACACCCCAAUAUGAUUUCAGCAUCAUCUCCUGGGUACAGUGAUACCCCCCAUGUAUAGGUGUGUCGGGUUCUCUGGGAGCUAAAAGACCUUAUUUGGAGGGUGCGCAUUCCAGUUUUCCAACUUGGAAUUUUCACAGCUGGUCAUCAUGCACCCAUGUACUAUUUGGGACAUUGUUAAAGCCAGCCAAUAUAAUUUACCCCCAUCAAAUAAUUUUUUUUGUGAAAAGUAGACACCCUAGGGUAUUUCAAAUGGUAUUUUAACACUUUCCAUGCACUAAUUCUACCACCAGUCUUUGUCAAACUUUUGGGUAGUCAUUUGUUUGUGUUAUUUUUCUCUCACAUUGUACUUUAGGCAUGGAUUCUCAGUUCCUGUUAUGUGUUACUGACAAAGAACACCCCAUAAUUUGUUCAGCAACAUCUCCCGAGUACAAAAUUGCCCCCAAUGUACAGGUUUUAUGGGUUUUUGCAAACUUACAGGGAUCAAAUGUAGGGCUUUCCCCUUUUCCAUGUUUGCACAUUGAAAUUUGCCAGAUUGGUUUGCUGGGCCUAUGUUGCCUUUGAGACCGUAUAAGCCCAGGAUUAAAAAUGAACCCCAUCAUGGCAUACCAUUUGUAAAAGUAGACAUCCCAGAGUAUUCAGAAUGGGGUAUGUCCAGUCUUUUUUAGUAGCAACUUAGUCACUAACUCUGGCCAAAAUUAGCAUUUAUAUUUGUUUUUUUGCAUUUGUCACACACAGACUGCCAUUUCAGAAAUGAAAUUGUCAGUAUAAUACAUUUUACUGCUCUAAAACACUCGUAUUUGUGUAGAGUAAUGUCUCACGGGUACAACAGUACCCCUCAAGUACAGGUUUUAUGGUGAUUUGGAAAGUUACAGGGUCAAACAUAAGAUUUGCCAAUUUCAGUUUUUGUAAAUUGCUAUUUGCCAGAUUGGCUAUGUUGCCUUUGAGAAGGUAUGGCAGCCUAGAAAUGAAAAUGAACCCCAUCAUGACAAGUUAGCUUAAUAAAUAGAUUGGAUGGAGGUAUGUAUGGACGAAUGGAUAGAUAGACGGAGAUAGAGAGUAAAGACUUUAGCAAUUAAUUUUUCGGCCAACUGUUUAGUGAGUCGAAUUCUGAAGUUGAAAUUCUUUUAUUUCAAGUACAUGCUGUGUUGUAACUCUCCCUACUCUCCACAUAGCAUACACAACAUAUUGUGGCUUAAUAAGCAUUUUACCGAUCCUGUCCAUUUUUCCUUUGAGUCUGCAAUUAUCUGAGAAAUAAAAAAAACAUAUUUCUUAAACGAAAUCACAGCCACACACUGACCUCUUGUAGGAAAUGUUACUCGGGAUAAUUUCUCUGGUCUGAUGAAAACUAGCUGUUUGCCAGUAUGCAUCAUAAUUUCUCAUCAAUUUCUUGUUUUAAAUGUAGCAACGAAUUAUGAUUUAAUAUGGAGAACUCAAUUCAUAAAGGGAAUUCGGGAGCAAAGUCAAAUAAUUCACUCUCAAGCCAACAACGUUUAAACAAUUCCCAAGUGAGCAACUUCUGAGGAUUCUGGGAACAUUCUGUGUUUUGUUUUUUUAUAAAAGAUAUCUCUUAUAGUAUUGUGGAAGAUACAUGCACUGGAGGUGGUCCAUAUUCAACAUCAUUGCAUUUUGUUUGUGAAAUUACAAUUAAUCUGCAAGCUGCUUUUGAAAGUUAAUAUGGUAAAGUAAGCACCUUUGAUGCUCAAGGCAAAACAAAGAUGAUUAAAAUUUAAUUGUCAGGGGUAAUGUAAAAUGUCGACGCCCUAUUCACCCAAUAUUAAUAAUAAUGAUAAUUCAUCAAUAGUUCGCACAAAUGACUUGGAGAAGGUUUAAAAACAUUUACUCCAAAUGAGUUAAUGAUUCUGGGCUUUUAUUCCUUAUUCUGCAUAUAUAUACACACAGGGUGGGCCAAAAUUGAGAGUAGAGUUUGAGGAGUCAAUAACUUUUUUUUAUUAAUGAACCAAUUCCAGUGAUAUUACAUACUUACAUACAAUGAAUGCUUAAUGUGUGGAGAUUUGUUUGACUUGGUACGGAACAGGACAUCUUUUAAAUGAGCUCCAUUUGCUGCCUCGCAUAGUCCAUUGCAUUAUUCAUAACAUUAGUUAAUGUUUGAGGCUCUAGCGAUCGCAUUUCUGCACAGAUAUUCUCCUUGAGCUGCUUAAGUGUAUGCGGUUUGUUUACGUACACCACCUCCUUCAGAUGUCCCCAUAAGAAGUAAUCUGGACCUGAAAUGUAGGGCACAUGUGGUGGCCAAUUACUCUGAGCAGGCCCUGACUGGCCAUCUGGCAACCCCGGCAAAUUGCCCAAUGGGCUGCGAUGGCCAUGGACUGAGGCCAAAGGGCAGAUCAGAGCAUCUCCCUUGCUGGUCCAUGCCUGAAAUCAAAGAUCUCCCUCACCCCUCCGCUGGCACCUUACUAUGGCUGCCAAGAUAAGGGAGAGGAGACCUGGAGGAACUCUAACCUGCAGCCGGGUUCCUUUCGUGAGCUCAGAGAGUUGUUGCGGUUACCAUUGCAACACUCCGAUCACGCAAGAAUAAACUCUAGCCGGCGAAGCUGCUCGGCAAAAGUUUGUUUAUUUUUUUCUAAAGUUUUAAUUGUCACAUGGGAUCCCUAACAAUGUACACACGCAUUACCUAAUAAGAAUGAUGGUGAAUUGGUGAACAUUACUAAAGCUUCAAAUAAUUCUGUCCAUUGACACUUUUCCUACCCCCCUAAUAUCUUGGUUUACCACAUUUUUCUGCUUGUUAUGGUUAUUGAUUGAAUAUUUUUAGGUAAACUUUUAAAAUGUUUAAGUCAAUUUAAUAUUAAGUCUUUUGAAAAGUUUAUCCAAAAAUAUAAAAUCAAGGCCUAAGUUUGUUAUUUUUUAAUUACAUUACUAAAAGUCUACAGGAAAGGAGAAUUAGCUUUGACUUUGCCUUCUCGGUUCUCUCCGGUGUCAUUACAUGUUAAUAGGACUGAGACCUGAAUAACCUUACAUGGUAUAUUUGUGUUCUUUCAACUAAUACAUUUCAUUAGGGCUCUGCUGAAAAGCACACUCAAUUCUAUGCCUGAAAAAAAUUUAUGUUGUUAAUAAAUAAAUUAUAAAUAAAAUAUAGAAACGCUUUUGGUAACAUGAAGAGCUGAAUCUGUCCACGUGGGACAUGAUAGCAGAACAAAUUAUACUUACUUUAUUAGUCAAAAAGAUCAAUUAGUAAUGUUCUCUUCAUUAUUGGACCAAAUAAUUAAUCUAUUGGGGAAUGUGCAGAAGCAGUUCUCAACGUAGCGUUGAAUUUCUAAUAUAAAUACUGACAUAUCUCUAUCGUGGCUAUUAAUAUUGUGCAAAAUCAGCUAUGUUACAGUAGAUCUGCAGCUUCUGAUAUUAUUGUUCUAUUAAAUGUAUCUAAAUGAACUUGUAGGGUUAUUCAAUAAAGUGCAUGUGGUGGAGAACUCACAAAGGAGUUGCCCAAUUUAGGCAAAAAUAGACAUUUUACAUAGAAACACAGAUUGUGACGGCAGAGAAGAACCAUUCGGCUAGCUACAUUUUUUUUAUGUAGAAAGAAAGAGGAGGGGUGAAGGGCUGCGCUAGAUACAGGUAAAUAAAAUAUAAAUAAAUAUACAAGCUCUUAGUUGUAAGGCACUUAGCGGUAUAAUCCCCGCUAAUGGAUAUUCUGUGAUAGGUCACUCCGUCCAGCUUGGGUUUCGUAGGAUUUCGCACGGUAUAUAAAAACAAAUAUAGUGCUCUCAGUAGGAAGGGAAAGCAUAAAAUAAAAUAAAAUAAGUUAUACUCACAAUGGUAGAGCAGGGAGUACUGCUCUAUUUAUAAUGCGCUGGUGGAAUAAUCCCCACCUGUGGAUUGCUUUAAGCAGGAACAGUUAGAUGCCAGGAGAAAAAUAAAAAAUGUGUUUAUACAAUAAAACAAAAAUGGUCCUAUAAAUAAGGGUACCAAAUAAAAGUUUUUAUUGUUAAAAUACACAGUAAAAAACCAUUUGACGCGUUUCACCUCAUGGGCUUUAUCAAAAAUGGCUAAAGAACAAUAACCUGGCAUUAAACAGUUUUUAUAGCUCUAUGCAAAAGAUUGAAAUUGGCGCCUAAAACAGUGCACCAAUUACAAGCAAGGAGUAACAUAAACUUUUUUGUGAUUACAAACUGACACAAAAAUUGGUUUACAUAUAAACCGCUAAGUGCCUUACAACUAAGAGCUGGUCCUAAGCUCCAACAAAUGUGAGUGUAUUAUCCUCCAUUUUAUUUAAUUUCGCUAAUCCUCUCAGUACAUACUAUACCAUUGGAAGUUUGUUUAUGUUCUUAUCUUUCAUAUACAUAAAAAUAUAAAAAAAUAAGUCAAUGUAUCAAAAAUAUUACAAAAUAUAAAUAUGUUUCAUGAUAUCAUAUCAUUUCAAAUGUUUAUAAAAAUAUGAAAUCGUUUGAAAAGCUUAUUUAAGAAUAAUAAAUUAAGGCCUUGGUUAGGGGAUGGAGUGGUAUGUAAAUGAUUGGGAAAAAUGUGCAUAUGUCUGUGUGUAUACUAUGCUUAAUGACAGAAUAGGUACAAAAUACCGAUUAAGGAACAGCCACCCCCUCCUCCCUCCCUCCUCCCAAAAAUACAGUUUUUAAUUGUAAUGCUUUCCUGUGGUCACCUUCAAAGGAGCACCUAUACUGGAGGGAUGAGGAGCACAGCUCAAUAUGAAUCUAUUCUGGAUACAAAAUCUACACAGGAAAAAGGGGUAAUUGUGUGCACACCUUGAGCAUGCAUGUCUAAGUAGUGGUGCUGCUGUAAAAAACUAAAUAUAUACAAAAUACAGCGCUCAAAAAAAAAAAGUUUUAUAUUGUAUAUGGCUAUAUAAUAUCACCUAUCAUGGCCAAACAUAUGGGGAUUCAGUUAUUAUGUAUUACAACCACUAGAGGCUGUCUUAGUGCUGCAAUGUACAUUGCAGUUUCUCAAAAACUGCAAUUAUUUACAUUGCAGGACUAAGGGCAACAGUGACAUUGCACCCAGACCACUUCUAUGAGCUGAAGUGGUCUAGGUGCCAAAAGUGUCCCUUUUCCGUGUUACAUGUAUGGUAAAGUGUUGGGGUGAAAAAUUCUAUGUUAUAAAUCUGCUUCUUAUUCAACAAUGUUUAAGCAGGAAAUAUCAAAGAUUAUUUUUAAAAGUCACAGAUGUAGCUAUUAUGAUUACAGUUAGAGUGCCAACAUAUGCUGCAACGAUGGUUAAACAAGACAGAGAAUUCUAACAAAACACGUUUGACAUAUGGGAAGACAGCCUUGUCCAAAGGAGCUUACAAUCUAAAAGCUAAGUUAGUCUUUACAUCUUUUAUUAAAUAACUAACAGCGUUCUUUACUGAAAGGUGAAUGGUGGGGAAUUUAAGGUAAAUUUAAAAUUUCAGGCCAAAAUAGAAUUGAAAUAAGUCUCCCAGUAAGACAUUCUUUCAGUUUCCUCAUUUUAGCUUAACAUUUAGUUUGAAUUACUGACAAUACACACAUUAGUUAAUAACCCUGAUAUUGUGUGCGAGAGAUUGUUCUUUUUUUUUUCUAACAUUGUAGACAGAAAAAAUCCCGCCAUGGUCAGAACCAUUGAUUCCUGGCAAUUUGUUUUAUUAUAUGUAUUUACUGUUUUACUUUCCUCAAAUUAAGUCCAUUUGACCUUUGCUAAUAGCACUAUACAAUAUAAAUUACAUUUCCCAGCCGUGAAAAUUAUAAAACGUGUGAUAUAAGAUAUGAAUAGUUUUUCCCCAAAGUGUUUUUCGCUAAAAUCAAACCGAUCACUUGAAACGCAAUCACCCAGGAAUGUCAAAGAAAAGAACGUGCCUUAAUGGGUCCUGUAUGACAUUUAUUUUUAGUGAUUCAAUUUUCCAAUCUUUAGCCUCUUUAUUUAAACCAAAUAAGAUGUUUAAUAUAGAUUGCUGUCAAAGAUAACAUUCCCACACCAGGAAUAGUUUAAGUGGCCAGGAACGUACAUGCCAGAAAAUGAGUCACUGUGGGAGCGAUAGGAUCUUACGGUCAGUUCUAUAAACUUCCCGAGACUUUACACAACAACGUUAUAUAUUGCUGGACAAGACAAACCACAGGAAAUACAAACAAUCUGCCACUGUGGUGAUCUUGUCACUUCAGAUGAUUGUGAAAUACAUUUAGUAAGACUUUUAGUCUGCCUCUAUACUCUCUGAGCAUCAUGGGGAUUGUAGUUGUCAUACAUCCGAGAUGCCAGGUUUAACUGAAAUGUUGAGUUAGUAGACAUCAUUGUUGAGUUAAUGCCUUUGGUAAAAAUAGUGUGUGUAGAAGACUAGAUGCAGAAGAUGGACUACCCAGAGGAAGGACAAUGCUAUGCCAGGACCUGGAAUUAUUGCUUGAAUUAUUGGUUAAUCCCUUAUUGGUAUCAAAGGGUUCGUCCAGGACGGAUCAGUGGGAGAUGAAAGAACAAUUCGUGUUAACAAUGAAUGGAGGGAUGGAUAUCACUGACCUUGGAUGGUGGCAUUGACUGGAUCCAGUGUCGAGCUAACACUCCUUUCUCACUGUUUUAAUGUAUUAGCUAUAUAAUAUAUUAAAAAAUAGGCUGUAAAUUUUACCCCAUAGAUUCUCUUUAAGUAAUUAAAUAAUUUAACAUUGCAUGUAGUUGUAAAUAAAACCAAUCAUCUGCAUUUGCAGAUGAAAAUAUAAGAAUUCUGGGAAUGAUCCUAAUUAGGAAUGGGUGGGACUUUUUCCCCAAAAUUAGCUGAGUUGGCAAACAGUUCAAUAUAUAUUUUUGAUUCUGUUUAAAAACUUGCAUUUCCCUCGUUAGCGUUCCUCAAUUCACAGUCUAUUUAAUAAACCCCAUUGGCUCCACACGUUCUGCGCAUACAAGUGGAUUUGUUGACAGAAUCAUAUUCUGCUGUCAGAGUGAUUUCCUGUAAAUGCUGAAAUUCAUGAAAUAAAGAAAUCGCCAUCUGCUGCUUUGCAGUUCUGUUAAGAAAUGUUAUCUUACAUGAGCUGAGCUGUCACCUGACCUGGUCUUAUAUCACAUUUAACCUUUUCAUUGCCAAAAUCAUGUAUCACAAAUAUGGGCCAGCACUGCUCAGUACUUCUGGAGCUCUCUGCGCUGGGCCCAAUACCUCAAUCUCUCUCUGCACUGUGUGAAUAAUGCACCCGUGCUGCACUGAUCGGGGGCAUUAUAUGAAGUUUCCAAAUGGUGGAACACAGGGGCGUUGCUAGGUUCCAGAAGCUCGGGGGGCUUAAACCCAAAAGACGUCUCAAUGGCUCCUACACUGACAGACAGUAUCGAUGUCAUGACACAUCCCUGCUCUCCAGGUUAGCCCCCUACUGUCUACUCAUCCCAUGGACUGCGUGCUGCUGGUGUGCUCCAGGAUCUCAAAGAAAACGUAGCUUUGACAAAGUGCAUGCUGGACAGCCAGGUAAUCAAUGUGAUCCUGUGAUGCUAUAUGAUUAGUAGAUGCUCUGUCCUCAACACCUAGCAGAGCACUAUAGUAAUAAUGUUUCUUUUUAUAAUGGGUGACUGCAUUAAGAAGCAGCUGCCUGAUUUAAAAUGGAAAAAAGAAAGAAAAAUCUAUCAACCAACUACGGACAUCUGUGGCUUCAGCAAGGUCAGCAAAACCAUAAGGCGGCACAGGCGGCCACCUUAGGGAGCACUGGGGUGUGCAAGGUACAGGUGACCAGCAGGAGUUGAGUGGACAGCACAGCGCUCCCCUCCUGUCAGUUAAUUCAUGUAGCGUCGAUGUGGGGACCACAAUACAGAAUAUUCUGUAUCCUCUACCUGAUCUGGCAGGAAGUGCUCACCGAGAGCAACUAACAGCUUCCUGUCAGACCGGGUAGAGGCUAUAGAAGACCCUGUACUGCGGUCCCCACAUCCACACUACAUGGAGGGAAUUAAGGAGGUACACAUGAAGGGGAGUGGGGGAAAGAGUCAUCAAAGGGAGGGGGGAGUGAAAAAGACACACAGAGGGGCUGUGGGAAAGACACAAGGUACUGGGGGAAGAGACACACAUGAAUGGGGAAGGGGAAAGAGAGACAGACAAAGGCACUGGUGGAGAGAAAGAGACCCACAAAAGGAGCUUGGGAAAGGGAAAAAACAUGCAGAUGGGCUGGGCAAAGGGAAAAGAGACACACAAAAGGAGCUAGGGGUUAGAGACACAUGGAGAAGGGGGAAAGAGACAGACAGAGAGGCUGGUGAAGGGGAAAAAGAGAGACACAGAGAGGUUGGAGAAGGGGAGGGAGACAAGGGGCCUGGGGAGAGUAAGAGACACACAAGUUGGUUGUAAGUUGCAGAGAGACACACAGGUGAAGAUGCAUUUUUUUGGGGGGAAGGUGGGGAGGGUGCGUCUGAAUGCAUCUUCGCCUGUGUAGCCAAUAAUCAUUGCACCGGCCCUGGGCUUCAGCCUCCAAUGCCACCAACUAAUAAUGCCUUUGUUGGAACACAAGCUAUCAAAUCAUAUCUACCUCUGUCUCUGAAUGAAGCUUACUCUCUCUGUCUAUGUCUGUCUGACUGAUCUAUCUAUUUAUCUAUUUAUCAAACUAUCUGUUUAUCUAUCUAUCUAUCUAUCUAUCUAUCUAUCUGUUUAUCUAACUAUCUAUUUAUCUAUCUAUCCAGAUCUAUUAACUAGAACAUAAAAAACAUUUAUCUUUAGGUAUCUCACUACCUCUCCCUAAUCCAUGAACAUACGUAUACAGAGAAGUAAAAGCCACAUGUGGAGGGUAUACAAACUGGUCAGCAUGGCCCCUUCCUGUAAAUUCUGCCUCUGCAAUUUUAGCAAUGGCUGACUGCAUGGCCCUAUAGAGAGGUCACACAGUUAGCCCUUUUCACUAGCAGGCCUUGCCUUCAGCGGAAAAUAAUUACAAUCUAAUGUGAAUUUAUCAAAAAGUCUGCAGCAGAGAAGUCAUUUAUUGUUUUAUUUUCCAUAAUGCUGCAUUGACAGAACAACACAUUCCUACCGCCUAGAGGUAUGUGUCGGCUCCGUAAAAGGCUUUUUGUGAUUUUAUAUGCAGGAGAGAGAAUAAAAAUAAUCAAAUCUAGAAAUUAUUUUAUUAAGGACCCAGUAGCAUCUUACAUGUGUAACACGUUAAAUCCACUGCCUGAGCCCUAUAACUGUCAUCUACAAACUCUGCCGACAACUCUAAUGUAACACCUUCAGGUUCCAGAAUUGUUACAAUUUUUUAUCAAAUCAACUUAUUUAAUAACUAGAUUGUGUAAUUGUCCACACAAAAACAUGGAUUCCAAUGUUGACAUUAAAGGGGCACUAUACAGGGAGUGCAGAAUUAUUAGGCAAGUUGUAUUUUUGAGGAUUAAUUUUAUUAUUGAACAACAACCAUGUUCUCAAUGAACCCAAAAAACUCAUUAAUAUCAAAGCUGAAUAUUUUUGGAAGUAGUUUUUAGUUUGUUUUUAGUUUUAGCUAUGUUAGGGGGAUAUCUGUGUGUGCAGGUGACUAUUACUGUGCAUAAUUAUUAGGCAACUUAACAAAAAACAAAUAUAUACCCAUUUCAAUUAUUUAUUAUUACCAGUGAAACCAAUAUAACAUCUCAACAUUCACAAAUAUACAUUUCUGACAUUCAAAAACAAAACAAAAACAAAUCAGUGACCAAUAUAGCCACCUUUCUUUGCAAGGACACUCAAAAGCCUGCCAUCCAUGGAUUCUGUCAGUGUUUUGAUCUGUUCACCAUCAACAUUGCGUGCAGCAGCAACCACAGCCUCCCAGACACUGUUCAGAGAGGUGUACUGUUUUCCCUCCUUGUAAAUCUCACAUUUGAUGAUGGACCACAGGUUCUCAAUGGGGUUCAGAUCAGGUGAACAAGGAGGCCAUGUCAUUAGAUUUUCUUCUUUUAUACCCUUUCUUGCCAGCCACGCUGUGGAGUACUUGGACGCGUGUGAUGGAGCAUUGUCCUGCAUGAAAAUCAUGUUUUUCUUGAAGGAUGCAGACUUCUUCCUGUACCACUGCUUGAAGAAGGUGUCUUCCAGGAACUGGCAGUAGGACUGGGAGUUGAGCUUGACUCCAUCCUCAACCCGAAAAGGCCCCACAAGCUCAUCUUUGAUGAUACCAGCCCAAACCAGUACUCCACCUCCACCUUGCUGGCGUCUGAGUCGGACUGGAGCUCUCUGCCCUUUACCAAUCCAGCCACGGGCCCAUCCAUCUGGCCCAUCAAGACUCACUCUCAUUUCAUCAGUCCAUAAAACCUUAGAAAAAUCAGUCUUGAGAUAUUUCUUGGCCCAGUCUUGACGUUUCAGCUUGUGUGUCUUGUUCAGUGGUGGUCGUCUUUCAGCCUUUCUUACCUUGGCCAUGUCUCUGAGUAUUGCACACCUUGUGCUUUUGGGCACUCCAGUGAUGUUGCAGCUCUGAAAUAUGGCCAAACUGGUGGCAAGUGGCAUCGUGGCAGCUGCACGCUUGACUUUUCUCAGUUCAUGGGCAGUUAUUUUGCGCCUUGGUUUUUCCACACGCUUCUUGCGACCCUGUUGACUAUUUUGAAUGAAACGCUUGAUUGUUCGAUGAUCACGCUUCAGAAGCUUUGCAAUUUUAAGAGUGCUGCAUCCCUCUGCAAGAUAUCUCACUAUUUUUGACUUUUCUGAGCCUGUCAAGUCCUUCUUUUGACCCAUUUUGCCAAAGGAAAGGAAGUUGCCUAAUAAUUAUGCACACCUGAUAUAGGGUGUUGAUGUCAUUAGACCACACCCCUUCUCAUUACAGAGAUGCACAUCACCUAAUAUGCUUAAUUGGUAGUAGGCUUUUGAGCCUAUACAGCUUGGAGUAAGACAACAUGCAUAAAGAGGAUGAUGUGGUCAAAAUACUCAUUUGCCUAAUAAUUCUGCACUCCCUGUAGUUCCUUCCUCAGUGAAGUGGCCUGGAUGUAGUGGCACUGUCCUUUUAACCCUGCAAUGUGAAACACUGCAUUCAUUUUAGAAAUACAAUGCUUUUUUGAAUACAAUACUUUACUAUGGAGAAGCAUAAAUGCAUGUUCUGCUUUCUGCGCAUGAGCGUCAAGUCCCCAAUGCUCCCCUGUGACCUCAUGGAGGAGGCCAUGCCCCCUCAAUUAUGUCAUAGGAGGUAGAGAGGUGAGAAGUUCUGAGGAAGUCUCGGCACUGGAAAAAGGUCAAUAUUUUCAAGGCAAACCACGGGGUAAAGAGCAUUAAAGUUAAAAGGGGUAGUUAGUUAACGAGGCCCCAAGCACCAUUCAUUGCCCAGAAGCUUCAUUCUGAGGGAUAUACGACACUGAUGGUCAUGGCAAUAUGGAAGCAUAGCUGACUUGGAGAAUGACCUCAACUCGGCUAUUUUGGACAUACAUUUGAAAUUCACGUUGAAUUCAUGACAAUUCUAACUUCAGGGAAUAUCCUUGAUAGUAUCACUAUGGGGAAGGAGGUUAUUUUAACAGUACACAGAUACAUUGACCAGGUAUUCAGAAGCUCCAAUUAUUCACAGUGCUCUGUCUGUCGCAAAAUGGAAGGGACGCAGCCCGCCUUAUAGUCUGGGUAAUUUGCCUCUGCCUAAUACAUUGUACUAGCUGGUAAAUGUGUCGAUAUACAGUUAGGGGGGGGGGAGUAUUUGAUCCCCUGCUGAUACUGAAUGUUUGUCCACUGACAAAUAAAUGAUCAGUCUAUAAUUUUAAUGGUAGGUGUGUUUUAACAGUGAGAGACAGACUAAUACAAGUAAAUCCAGAAAAAUGCAUGUCAAAAAGUUCUAAAUUGAUUUGCAUGUCAAUGAGUGAAAUAAGUAUUUGACCCCUUCAACUCAGCACUUAGUGGCAAAACCCUUGUUGGCAAUCACAAAGGUCAGAUGUUUCUCGUUGUUGGCCACCAUGUGGGUUCUAGUGUGUCUUUGGAUACAGGGGGCCCCUGGAAGGUGGAAGCUGUAUUCUUUAUGAUGGAACAUUGGAGGAUGAGAACUGUACUGGGAAUUGGAGCAGGUUUUUAUUGGUAACGGGGAACCCUACUGGAUGGGGAAAAGCACUGGCAUGAGAGUCUAUCCCUGAAGGAGUGUGCAAAUUAUAUUCUGCAUGAGGAAACUGUAUUGUGUGUAGAUGUGAACUGUGCUUUAACUGUAAUAUUAGAAUUUAUAUUGUGCUCUUUAUGUGCUACAUAUUUAUAUGGAUGAUCCUAAAAUCUAAACGUGUUCCUGAACUUAUCUCUUAGAAAAUCUGCAAUGAAACUGUAAAUAAAUAUAAAAGAUAUAAAAAGUAGAUUGAAAUGGGAACCAUAUCAUACAAUCAAUACCUUUACUUAUAAUUAAAAAUUGGGAGGAAAGAAGAAAACAUAGCAUAAUAUAAAGUAACCUAAUAUCUGUACAAGGAAAUAUUAAAGACCAUUUAUUCUUUUAUGACUCUAUUGUUCCCGUUAAGCUGUUCCUGGUAGAACUGCAGAUUUUUUUAUGUUCUUAAUAAUACAACAGAAUCCUGUCCACUGAUCUGAGAAAUUGCUUUUCAUUUUAUUCCGAGGCUGAAACAAUGAUUCAUGGGGGGGGGGGGGUUAUUUUUCUGGAAACCAUCAAAAAAACUAAUAUCGUCUUUAUCCUUUGCUUAUAUUGAAGCUGGCUGCUCAGUUGGCUUGCAUGGCACACAGAAAAUAUUGUUAUUUUAGCACGCAUUCAAUGACUAUUAACACUGGCAGGCGAGUCUCUUAAAGGGACACUAUAGGCACCAGAACAAAUACAGCUCAUUGUAGUUGUUCUGGUGAGUAUAAUCAGGCUACUUUGGGCUUUUUGCAGAGAACACUAUCCUUUCAGAGAAAAUGCCGUGUUUAUAUUACAGCCUAGGGACACCUCCAUUGGCCACCCCUCAGAUGGCUCUGCAUGGAGACUCUAAACUCUAUGAAGAGAUGCUGAUUGGCCCUGCCUCCUUUGCGAUCUCAGCCAAUCCCAUGAUUUCCCUAUGGGAGAUCAUCAAUUCUGAUGAUGUCAGCUAAAGAGGUGGAUCAGGAGCAGGGCAAAUGCCAGGGGAUCCCUGCGGCUCAGGAAUAAAUGUAAGUUUUAACCUUUUCUGGGGGGGGAGCAGGACAACCUAAAUAGUGGGGUUUAACACUAAAGGGUCAGGAAUACAUGUUUGUGUUCCAGACCCUAUAGUGUUCUUUUUUUAAAGUUUGAGUUUGUGCCUCCCAACAUUUGGACACACACACUAGCCAGUCAGGGCUUCCUAUUCUCAGUUCACUAUAGAAGCACUCACCCAAACGUAGACUUGGAGAUAUGAUUAUUUACAAACGGCAAUCUGUCCAAAUUUGGGCCAGUCAGGUAAUUGUUCAAAUUCCCAAACUUUGAACUGAAAUGUGGCUGAAUCACGAACAAAACCAAACACACAAUGGACGAGCGUGUUCAUUUUGAUGUGUGAUUCUGAAAUCCACCCAAUUUUUUUAUUAUGUAUAUAUUUGUUGCAGUUCCCUGAAUGGCCCAUUUUUGCAUCUUCUGUUCCGUCUGAUUUGUUUCCUGAAUCUUUCUUUGUUUACGAAAUUGCAAGAGUCACAGCAGGAUUUAUACUAAAAAAGCGUGCUGGGCAGGGCCGGACUGGGAAAAAAAUUUGGCCUGGGCAUUUUUCAAUCAGAGCGGCCCCCUAAGAAGGGGGCGGGGCCAGAGAGUGUGUGUUUUGUCAUCACUAAUGACAAGCACGCCCCCUCUCAAAGUGAGCAUGUUGGUUCAAUGCCCAGAGCCCUGCUGAAGAGCUCUGGCAUUAGAAAAAGGCCCUGAAUUUGUUCUGCGCAGCGCAAGCAAAUUUAAUAACAUGCUUGCGCUGUGUUUGCUUUUAAAUUGUCUCUGGUGUCUCCACAAGUGGGAUACCAGAGGACAAAAGGGCCAGGAAAGUGCAUGGUGCAUAUGUUUGGAGCCUGCUUGUGGGAUUGCGUGUGUGUAGAGUGUGGUGUGUAUUGUGUAAAUAGGUCAAUUUCAUUUGUGUUUGUGGUGUAAUAUGUGUGGCUAGGGGCUGUAGAGAGUGUGUGUAUAGGGGGCAUAGUUUUAUAGGGGAUGCAGCGAGUGUGUGCAUACAGGCUGAAGUGUGUGUGUAUAGGUGACGUAGUGUGUGUAGGGGUUGUAGAGAGGGUGUGUUUAGAGAAUGUUGUAUGUGUUUGCUGACAAGGAAUGUAGUGUGUGUGUGUUUGAGAUCUACUGUGUAAAGGACCCAGUGUGUGUGUGUGUGUGUGUGUAGAGGAUUAGGAGAGGAAGAGUGCAUAUAGGGUAAGGGAUCUAGUGUGUAUCUGGAGUAUAAUGUGUGUAGUGGUGCAGUGUGAGGAGUGCUGUAGUGUGUGUGUAUAUAUAUAUACACACAUUUGGACUUAUUGUAUGUGUGAGGGGCGCAGUGUGUGUAUGUAAGAGGGGUGCUGUGUGUGAGGAUGUUUUUAUUUGCUGUCAAAUUCUAGGUUUCUAAUUUUCUUUGUCUGUUAACUCACUGAGGGUUAUUUUAUAUAUGUGUGUGUGUGUGCUGUAUAUGUGUGGGAGUGUGUUGUGUGUGUGAGUGAGGGUGAUGUGUGUUUGGGGGUGCUGUGUCUGGGUGCUGUGUGUGUGAGUGAACAUAUUUUUUAUUUAAAUUUAAAUAUAUAUUAUUUAGUAAUAAAAAAAAAGUAUAUCCCCCCCCUCCCUUCUUACCUUUAUCCUGGGGGGAGGGGAAGGAGAUCCAUUCUGCCUGGGGGGUGGAUGCCAUGCUGCCUUCCCUGGUGGUCCAGUGGUGAGAGUGAACUCUAACCUGCAGGUUAGAGUUCACUCUCGCGAGAUCUGAGCUUUGCCGUGGUAACCGCGGCAACGCUCAGAAUCCCGCGAGAGGACCCGGCGGAGCUGUUGGUUAGAGCUCCACCGGUCCUCUCCUCCCUCCUCCCUCCUCCCUCCUUCCCUCUCUCCCCAGCUGGCGGCCACCUGUAACAGUGCCUCUGGGCUGGUGAGGGAGCUCUUUGUUCCUGUGAUCUCCCCUGCCGGCCUUGGCCCACGGCCAUCGCGGCCCACCGGGCAUUUGCUCGGUAUGCCCGAUGGCCAGUCCGGGCCUGGUGCUGGGCUAUGCCCAGAGUCAGGGCAGGAUUUAUAUUUACCCACUAGCUGGAGCUAUGCUCAGAGUCAGUGCAGGAUUUAUAUUGACAAGCUAGCUGGAGCUAUGCUCAGAGUUGGGGCAGGAUUUAUAUUGACAAGCUAGCUGGAGCUUAGGCCAGAGUCAGGGCAGGAUUUAUAUUGACACACUAGAUGGAACUAAAUCCAGAGUCAGUGCAGGAUUUAUAUUGACACACUAGCUGGAGCUAUGUCUUGAGUAAGGGCAGGAUUUAUAUUGACAAGCCAGCUGGAGCUACGGCCAGAGUCUGGGCAGGAUUUAUAUUGACUCACUAGCUGGAGCUAUGCUCAGAGUCAGGGCAGGAUUUAUAUUGACACACUAGCUGGAGCUAUGUCUUGAGUCAGGGCAGGAUUUAUAUUGACAAGCCAGCUGGAGCUAUGGCCAGAGUCUGGGCAGGAUUUAUAUUGACUCACUAGCUAGAGCUAUAGCCAGAGUCAAGGCAGGAUUUAUAUUGACAAGCUAGAUGGAGCUAAUUUCAGAGUCAGGGCAUGAUUUAUAUUGACAAGCUAGCUGGAGCUAUGUCCUAAGUCACGGCAGCAUUUACAUUGACAAGCCAGUUGGAGCUAUGCCCAGAGUCAGGGCAGGAUUUAUAUUGAUAAGCUAGAUGGAGCUAUGUCCUAAGUCAGGGCAGGAUUUACAUUGAAAUGAUAGGUGGAGCUUAUUCCAGAGUCAGGGCAGGAUUUAUAUUGACAAACUAGCUGGAGCUAUGGCCAGAGUCAGGGUAGGAUUUAUAUUGACAAGCUAGAUGGAGCUAAUUUCAGAGUCAGGGCAGGAUUUAUAUUGACAAGCUAGCUGGAGCUAUGUCCUAAGUCACGGCAGGAUUUAUAUUGACAAGCUAGCUGGAGCUAUGCCCAGAGUCUGGGCAGGAUUUAUAUUGACAAGCUAGCUGGAGCUAAUUUCAGAGUCAGGGCAGGAUUUACAUUGACAAGCUAGAUGGAGCUAUGUCCAGAGUCAGGGCAGGAUUUAUAUUGACAAGCUAGUUGGAGCUAUGGCCAGAGUCAGGGCAGGAUUUAUAUUGACAAGCUAGAUGGAGCUAUGGCCAGAGUCAGGGCAGGAUUUAUAUUGACUCACUAGCUGGAGCUAUGUCCUAAGUCAGUGCAGGAUUUAUAUUGACAAGCCAGUUGGAGCUAUGGCCAGAGUCAGGGCAGGAUUUAUAUUGAAACGACAGAUGGAGCUAAUUCCAGAAUCAGGGCAGGAUUUAUAUUGACAAGCCAGCUGGAGCUAUGCUCAGAGUCAGGGCAGGAUUUAUAUUGUAACGAUAGAUGGAGCUAAUUCCAAAAUCAGGGCAGGAUUUAUAUUGAAACGAUAGAUGGAGCUAAUUCCAGAGUCAGGGCAGGAUGAGAGAGAUAACUGGAGGUAAAACCGAAGUCUGAGUGGGAUAUAUAAGAGUAAACCAGCUGGAACUAUGACAAAGGUAAGGACUCAAUUUAUAUGGAUGAUCUAGCUGGAGAUAUAGACAAAGCUAGGGUAAGAUUCGUAUCAGAAAGUGACUUCCAGGAUAUUUAAUUUAAAUUCAUAUUAAUGGAAAAGCUGAACAUAUUUCAGAGGAAGAAAUAUGCUUUUCAUAAGGUAACAAAGUUAGAUAUUUCAGAGAGAAUAUUUUUGUUUUUAAUCAUGUUAUACUAUUUUCUAUAAGCAAGAAACACCACAUUCCAUGGAAACCAAUUGAGGAUAUCUGGAAGGCAAACACACUUGUCCUUUGAUGUUUCUUUACUUUGGAAGAAGCAAAAAAUGCAAAUGAGAAUUUAACUCCGCAGACGUACAGUGAAGAAGAUCCAAUUAUUCUAAUAAAUAUCAUGUUCUAAUUCAGCCAAGUGAAUAUUAUUUGCACAGCUCUCAUAGCUUUGGCAUUUAUAUUUACUUUAAUCUUUUUUUCUGGUUUUUAUUUUUGGAUUCUAAAGUCAUGCAGAUAAGAGGGCACUUGGAUUGUGAACUGUAACUAACAGGACAAUUCCCAUAAGAAAAAUAAAAAAAUAAAAAUAAAAUUGACAUCACUGACUCUGACACUGGACGUGGCUGAGAGUGAUGGGAUUUUUUGUCCUUAAGCCUUUUGUGCACAUAUUUUCAUAAUCACUUUCUUAUCACCUUCUCUUCAUUCUUUUCCAGAUGGCUGAGGUUGCUUCGUUAGGGGAUCCAAUUAUAGAUUGACUAGUGGAAACACAGCUUUACGUAGUGUAUUGGGUUACAAUAUUACCACCAGCUGCAGAACUGGAAGAUGGAGAAUCUAAGGUCCAGGCAUAUAUCGAAAUAAUAUUGUACAGCGCUAUGGAAUGUGGUGGAAUUUUAUGACUAUUUGUAAUACAUGUUCACAUGGUUUACACCUUGCUACAAGACAUGUAUGUUUCAGAUACGUUGAAUUCAAUAAAGAAUAUACCUUAAUGAUCAUUUUAGAGAAACUCUGCGACGCAUAAACAUGUUACAAAAACACAACUACAUAGAAAGGCAACAGCAAGGUAUCUUCUUAAGAACUGAAUAACACUGACAUAUAAUUCAAGCAAUUGGAAGACCCAGCAACCUACCUUCUAACCACCAGUGGAGCCUGUGAAGCAUUGGAAAGAUUUGUCAAAGAUUCUCUGAUACUAGAGAUUGGAUUCCAUCAAAUUUUUAGCAAAUAUUUGGCACAAUUUCAUAAAAGAACUCUUUACCUGCUUUUAAAAUAAUAAUAAUAAUAGGGUAUAUCUAAAACAGCUUGCAAAAGCUGCAGAUCUCUUGUCUGUGGCUUUUGCAAGCUCCUCCUCUUCUAACCCCACCCAGACAUUCUGUGGCUGUCCAAUCACAGACUUCCCAAAGCAACUCAAUGAGAAGUCUUUGCAAGGCUGGUGUCUGGGCAAUUGCUGCCUCUUGAGUUUAGCUCCACUGAGCUGAACAGUGGUGAUUCAGUGGUGCAAGAAUUUGUGGGGGACUCAUUAAAGAGUGGCCAAAAGGUAGAUGUUGUACAGAUCUCGCAACGCAUUGCCAGCUGGGACUCUACCAUUUGUUCAUCCUUUCAGGGUUGUAUUUAGCACUGAGCAGUGUUUGUGUGUUUGACCUUCAGGUUAUUUAAUUAAAAUUCAUUUAACCCCAAUGAACUUCUUUUUUUUUGGGUUGUAGUCAAUAAUAAGGUUUUUGAGAGGAAGCCUCAGACAGUGGGCGCAUUUAUUGACACUGCUUAAGUGUUUGGAGUGUCCCUUUAAAGGAACAGCGUAGACACCAUAACAACAUCAUCUAAAUGAAAGAGCCAGGGCAUCUACUGGCACCAUAACAGCUUCAUUUAGAUUGAGUUGUUAUGGUGACUGUAGUGCUCUUUUAAUGAAUAGCCUCAAAAGACUAAUAAGUGGGUUGAGGUUUUGUCUAUAACAAAUUAUUGCUAAAUUCACAAUAAGUCCCUUGGGAAAAGCAGAGUCAUGAAGUAGCCUCAUUGGCUCACUAAUACCAAAAUCUUAUGAAGGUAUGAAAACGUAAACACUCCUCAUUCACUGCUGGCUAAAUUUGAAAUGGAUUUAGAGUUAGAAUCACCUCGGCCAGUUUUAUUCUGUUUUAUGGAUUUAAAAGCCCUAAAGGCUCUUUUAGCCGUGUAUUCCAUAAAGGACAUAAUUAUACUCAUCAGCAUUUGUGAGGAAUAGGUGACGUUACGGAAAAUGAGAUGUAAAUGAUAUGUUGAAUAUUUGUAACAUCCUAUGCAAUGAGUUCUGACGAGGUUAAUACUUUGUGCAGCUGUAGAUUGAAGGAUCUCGUACAAGGUCAAACAACGACCUUUAAUUUGCAUAAAAUUAUUUUAGUGAUAAUGCAAUCUCGCAUUAAAAUAAUGGCUUCCAGCUCCGUGUAUGUAAUGUCAUUACUGAGAAGAGACACAAUGGCAUUCUAGUGAGAAAUACUCUGUCGGAAUUUGGGGUAUUAAUAUUUUGUGUCGGAGUUGGGGGAGGGGCCGUACAUUUCACAAAGCUUUCUGUUUUUCGAAGAGACUAUAGGCUAUUCUGGCUCAAGCAAUCUACCUAAAUCUAGACAAAAUUAUUUGAAUAAGUCAGCACUUAUUUUUUUACUUACAUAGUAAACAGAGAUAUUCAAGAAAGCUGUCAACUUCUCUUGAUAUUGCACC